GAUGAACGCUGGCGGCGUGCUUAACACAUGCAAGUCGAACGAAGCAUUUGCGACAGAUUUUUUCGGAAUGAAGUUGCUUAUGACUGAGUGGCGGACGGGUGAGUAACGCGUGGGUAACCUGCCUUGUACUGGGGGAUAGCAGCUGGAAACGGCUGGUAAUACCGCAUAAGCGCACAAUGUUGCAUGACAUGGUGUGAAAAACUCCGGUGGUAUAAGAUGGACCCGCGUCUGAUUAGCUAGUUGGUGAGAUAACAGCCCACCAAGGCGACGAUCAGUAGCCGACCUGAGAGGGUGACCGGUCAUAUUGGGACUGAGACACGGCCCAGACUCCUACGGGAGGCAGCAGUGGGGAAUAUUGCACAAUGGAGGAAACUCUGAUGCAGCGACGCCGCGUGAGUGAAGAAGUAAUUCGUUAUGUAAAGCUCUAUCAGCAGGGAAGAUAGUGACGGUACCUGACUAAGAAGCUCCGGCUAAAUACGUG
RNAcentral lists this ribosomal RNA (481 nucleotides) under uncultured bacterium. Its description in RNAcentral is "partial 16S ribosomal RNA". It matches the Rfam family "Bacterial small subunit ribosomal RNA", at positions 28 to 507 of the family's 1533-position model. The record is from RNAcentral.